Molecule: ribosomal RNA, 450 nt
Filed under: uncultured bacterium
Lineage: Bacteria
Description: bacterial SSU rRNA
Rfam family: Bacterial small subunit ribosomal RNA
Source: RNAcentral
CUCUGUGACUCCUACGGGAGGCAGCAGUGGGGGAAUAUUGCACAAUGGGCGCAAGCCUGAUGCAGCAACGCCGUGUGAGUGAAGAAGGUUUCGGAUCGUAAAACUCUGUCCUAAGGGAAGAAACAAAUGACGGUACCUUAGGAGGAAGCCCCGGCUAACUACGUGCCAGCAGCCGCGGUAAUACGUAGGGGGCAAGCGUUAUCCGGAAUCACUGGGCGUAAAGGGUGCGUAGGCGGCUUAGCAAGCCAGGGGUGAAAGGCAUUGGCUCAACCAAUGUAAGCCUUUGGAACUGUUAAGCUUGAGUGCAGGAGAGGUAAGUGGAAUUCCUAGUGUAGAGGUGAAAUUCGUAGAUAUUAGGAGGAACACCAGUGGCGAAGGCGACUUACUGGACUGUAACUGACGCUGAUGCACGAAAGCGUGGGUAGCGAACAGGAUUAGAUACCCUGGGAG